RNAcentral lists this long non-coding RNA (1210 nucleotides) under Vulpes vulpes (red fox). RNAcentral describes it as "lncRNA (ENSVVUG00000006303.1)". Lineage: Eukaryota; Metazoa; Chordata; Mammalia; Carnivora; Canidae. The record is from RNAcentral.
GAGCUAAUGUAUAAAUGUAUUUGGUUACACAGUACAAGUUUGACAAGGGUUAAGUGUUCAAUCCGAUUAUUAUUUUCAUGAUGAUAAAUAUUAAUGUUAUUAUAAACACUUUUAAGUAACAUUCAAUUAGAUAAAAUUCAAAGUGAUUUGAAACACAUAAAUUUCUUUGCCCCCAUUUCUCUUAAUCCUCCAGGGCUUUGCUAGGCUCUACCCUCAGGCAAAAAUAUCUUUUGCUUUGAAGUUCAUUUUAUUUCAUUAUACCUCCCUGGAUUUAUUAGUGUGGCCUAUUAAUGUUUAGGUUAUUUAUUUUCAUUUAUUAAGGCCUUUCUAUAAGAUAUUCUCUUUCUUCUUUAACUUCUUUCCAGAAUUCCUAAUGUCUGCAGAAUGGACAAAGGCUAACCCAUCCUCAAUCCUGGAUUCCUCUUUAAAACAGUGCAGCAAAAGAGAAGGGAGACAUUCAUUCCCUCCAUCUGAAACGACCAUGGAGAAAAUAGAGUCGAGGUGUAAUAGAGCUUAAAAUCAACUUUAUUAAAUUGAAUUUCUCCAGAAUUGAGAAGACAUCUCACUUUUUCUAUAGCCUUCAGGUGCUAAAAUGACAUGCCCCAGGGAAGUAUCUGAGCAAGUCAUAGCAAAAUGUUACCAUUUUGCCUCUGGUUGGAGCACUAGAAAUCCUGCCACUCAGUUCUACUCAAGCAGAGAGGUUGAAUUCCCUCUUGAAAAAUACUUCUAUCAGAUUCUACUUCUAACCUUUCACUCUGCAAGUGUUUCAAGCCAGUCCAAGAAACAGAUGGGACAGAUGCCAGAAUGAUGUGUGCCAUUCCUUACCCAUUAUUUCCACUAGGCUGAAUAUUUAACAUCUCAAAAUGCCAAGUCUAAUAUAUUCCCUAAUAUUCCCCAUUGCAAACAUGGUCAACCUAUAGUCCUUACAAUGAACUAUAAGUAAAUGACUGUUCCAUCCUUAUAGCUAAGACAAUGAACUUUGAACUUAUCUUUGCCUUUCCCCCUUUCUCUUACUACAUGCAAUUGUUUCAUUAGCAGUUCUAUUGGUUAUAUGUUCUAUCAGGUAUACAGCUAAUUCUUGACAAACCAUUGUGACCAAUGGUCUCUUACACUUUAACUUUAUUUAUGAUAUCUGAUACCUAUUUUCCUAAUAGUCUAUUUUAAUUUCUUUCUUUUUUGUUAUUUAAGUUAUCACUAUUCUAUACUAAAC